RNAcentral lists this ribosomal RNA (785 nucleotides) under uncultured bacterium. RNAcentral's name for it is "bacterial SSU rRNA". It matches the Rfam family "Bacterial small subunit ribosomal RNA", at positions 8 to 796 of the family's 1533-position model. The record is from RNAcentral.
AGAGUUUGAUCCUGGCUCAGAACGAACGCUGGCGGCGUGCUUAACACAUGCAAGUCGAGUGCGCGCCUGUAGCAAUACAGGUGGCGCACGGCGCACGGGUGCGUAACACGUGGGCAAUCUGCCCUCUGAUGGGGAAUAACCCGCCGAAAGGGGGCUAAUACCGCAUAAAAUUCCUUGGACUUAUGUUCGAGGACUCAAAGGCGUAAGUCGUCGGAGGAGGAGCCCGCGCACGAUUAGCUAGUUGGUAGGGUAAUGGCCUACCAAGGCUUUGAUCGUUAGCUGGUCUGAGAGGAUGGCCAGCCACACUGGAACUGAGACACGGUCCAGACUCCUACGGGAGGCAGCAGUGGGGAAUCUUGCACAAUGGGCGAAAGCCUGAUGCAGCGACGCCGCGUGGGGGAUGAAGCAUUUCGGUGUGUAAACCCCUUUCGAUCCGGACGAAUGCCUCGCAAGAGGAGUGACGGUACGGAUAUAAGAAGCCCCGGCUAACUACGUGCCAGCAGCCGCGGUAAGACGUAGGGGGCCAGCGUUGUUCGGAAUUACUGGGUGUAAAGGGUUCGUAGGCGGUGUGGCAAGUUGGGUGUGAAAUCUCUGGGCUCAACCCAGAGACUGCUUCCAAAACUGCUGUGCUUGAGUGUGAGAGAGGCUCGUGGAAUUGCAGGUGUAGCGGUGAAAUGCGUAGAUAUCUGCAGGAACACCCGUGGCGAAAGCGGCGAGCUGGAUCACUACUGACGCUGAGGAACGAAAGCUAGGGGAGCAAACAGGAUUAGAUACCCUAGUAGUCC